AUGGCGGCCUUGGCGACGGCCGACGGAUGGUGGGACUGGAUCCGGUCGACAGUGGUAACCCAGCCGACACUAGAUCUGGUUGAAGCGGACGACAAGUGCAGAAUGGGAGGAGCCGUGGAUGUGUUCGCGCCUCUCCAACUGAAUCUGAACACGCUGUGCGAUAUGAGCAGCUUAUCGCCGCCGGACUCUGAACAGUCCACGAGCAAGGACGACCCGCAAGCUCCUGGUUGGACAUGGAGGGUGCUUGUUGGACAGGCUCCUGCGCCAUGUUCGGGUAGAGUUUGUGCCCUUGAGAAGACAAUCAGGGGGUUAGCUGAGAAGAAGACUGACACUGUUGUUGGA
This 342-nucleotide ribosomal RNA is filed under the name Triticum aestivum (bread wheat). Its description in RNAcentral is "partial small subunit ribosomal RNA". The record is from RNAcentral. Lineage: Eukaryota; Viridiplantae; Streptophyta; Magnoliopsida; Poales; Poaceae.